Molecule: ribosomal RNA, 305 nt
Filed under: uncultured bacterium
Lineage: Bacteria
Description: bacterial SSU rRNA
Rfam family: Bacterial small subunit ribosomal RNA
Source: RNAcentral
UCCUACGGGGGGCAGCAGUAGGGAAUUUUCGUCAAUGGGCGCAAGCCUGAACGAGCAAUGCCGCGUGAACGAGGAAGGUCUUCGGAUCGUAAAGUUCUGUUGAAGGGGAAAAAGAGCGGAGAGAGGAAAUGGUCUCCGAUUGAUAUUACACUUCGAGGAAGUCACGGCUAACUACGUGCCAGCAGCCGCGGUAAUACGUAGGUGGCGAGCGUUAUCCGGAAUGAUUGGGCGUAAAGGGUGCGUAGGUGGCCUGCUAAGUCUGGAGUGAAAGGUACCGGCUCAACCGGUACAGGCUCUGGAAACUG